RNAcentral lists this RNase P RNA (156 nucleotides) under Deltaproteobacteria bacterium. RNAcentral's name for it is "partial RNase P RNA component class A". It matches the Rfam family "Bacterial RNase P class A", at positions 1 to 169 of the family's 367-position model. From Rfam's summary of the family: Ribonuclease P (RNase P) is a ubiquitous endoribonuclease, found in archaea, bacteria and eukarya as well as chloroplasts and mitochondria. Its best characterised activity is the generation of mature 5'-ends of tRNAs by cleaving the 5'-leader elements of precursor-tRNAs. Lineage: Bacteria; Pseudomonadati; Myxococcota; Myxococcia. The record is from RNAcentral.
AGGGUCGGUCAGGUGGCCGCCGGAGGUAAUUCCUCCGGAGGAAAGUCCGGGCUCCAGAGGGCAGGGCGCCGGGUAACGCCCGGAGGGGGUAACCCCUGGAAAGUGCCACAGAAAACAGACCGCCCCGUACAGGGGUAAGGGUGAAAAGGUGGGGUA